Haliotis rufescens (red abalone) is the source of this 2399-nucleotide long non-coding RNA. RefSeq lists it as uncharacterized. Lineage: Eukaryota; Metazoa; Mollusca; Gastropoda; Lepetellida; Haliotidae. The transcript has 3 exons. The record is from RefSeq and is a predicted model, not a curated record.
GUUUCACCCGCUGCAUGAGGAAAUGUAACAUGGCGGCACACUGUUAUGGGAAACGCAUGCUUGAAGCAUGCCUGAUACUGACUGGGGAGGUACAUGUGCAGAAGAAACAAAAGCUUUCACAUAUAAAGUGCCAUUUUGGCCAGCUGAUCUGAAGUCUGGUGUUGGCAGUGGAUGAUCGACAACCCUUGCUUUUGCUUUACCUCACUACCCUCGACCGCCUGGUAGAAGUUGUGGUACUUGGACACGUUCUACACCACCAAAUCAGAACAUGCAGAGUUCAUUGGGAGCCUUUCCUUAAUCAUCUGGCAGCUGUGAUUGGAUGAUUUUGUAUAAGAUUUCAAGUUUUUUUCAAAUGUACAUCCAUCCAGUAUUUAAAACUGACCAUGUUGUUCUAUAAUUAGUGCUGUCGUUUUCAACAUGAUGACUCAUGCUGAAUGUGACCACAGCUAUUUUCAAGCAAGUGACAUUUGGUGCGGAACUGGAUGUAGUGUGUUUAAGUUCCUGUACUUAGAAAAGGACCUGGCUAAGACAGUCAACUUUUUUGUUUUUAUUGCAGCUUUAAGGCAAGACUGCACACAUUUGUAUUCUUAAGUUGCUGUUGAAAGCGUAGUUAUUUUUAAAAAUACAAUGUUACUAUAGAAGUGUAUGGGAAAACAUUUGUUUGUGUGUAACCUAUUUAAUGUUAAAGCGUGCCCUGUUUGUGAAUUGUUUAAACUCGCAAACCCCUUUCAUUUUCUAUCACUUCACCCCUCUGUUCUGAUAUAAUUCAUAUGGCAUUUUCAGACUUUGGCUUUGUUGUUUUCACAAAAAAAGCAUUUGUAAAGACUUCCUUUUGGAACAGAUGUAGAAAAGGCAAAGGAGUUUCUAGAGCACAGGCACGGUGCUACAUGUUCUAUUUCACAUUUAAAGAAAAGGAAACAAAUGAAGGUUGCCCUGCACUGUGUUUUGUUCAAUAAUAUGGACAGCAUCUGUCCCUGCAAGAUGUCAGUUCCUGCACGACUUUGUAAACCAUACAAUGUUUCUAAACAUAAAUAGGUCUAGUCAUGAACUGGUGCCUUUUGAUUGAUUGUUAUUUAUAAAACCCAAAACCAUUUGAGUUUCCAUGGCAACAAGUUUGACUUAGGCUGGAAAUGCUAGUAGUGCUCGUUUCGUAACCACAUUUGGCACUCUAGUUUGGGAUUGUCGGGGGAAAAAAACAUGAUCAAAAGGCACCAGUUCACCACUUGAUCUAUGUGCCAAGUUUGAUGAAGAAAUAAUGUAUGAUUUUCAAGAUCUGCUCUGGAAAUGAAAUGAUAGCUUUGGGCACGUGAUUUUGUUCUGAAGUUGCCUUGCAUUAGACAUGUGUUUAUCGAAAAUUGAAGUCAUGUCAUCAAACAAGAGUUGCAAGUAGCUUUAUUGUUAAUGUGGCUUUCUGUUUAAAAGUCACACUACAUGUGAUGUGUAUAUUUCCCAACUGGAUUGGCGUGUUACUUUUUUAUCAAUGUAGCAAUAGGCAUUGGACAUAUUGUUUUGAAACUGUACAGCAUUUUCCCAAAUUUGUAAUAUCAGUGACCCGGCAGUUGAUAUAACUUUGAUAUUAAGGUAGCUAUAGGCAUAAGGUUUUCAAUGUUGUACUGCAUUGAGCAUGCAUUUUCCAAGCCAGAAGUGAUGUCAUUAAACAGGACGUGCUUAUAGCUGUUCUUGUAUAGGGUAUAGCUAGAGGACUAACUUGUACUGUCAUUAUGACUGACUUACUAGGGUAGUUCUUACUAGACCGGGGCGGAGGGGUAUAAGCAAUGGGUUCAUUGAAGUAUGAACCUUGUUAGAGUGAGGACCAAACCGUGUAUGCACGUCGGAAUUUGCGACAACGUCUAUACAAGGUUUGGCCCUCACUCUACCAAGGUUCAUACUUCAAUGAACUCAAACAAAAUGAAAGUCAUUUCUUAAUUGAAUGUGUAUGGGUUUCAUUGUAUGUAGGUAUCAUUGAAUGUGUGUGGGUAUCGUAGGUAUGUAGGUAUCAUAUGUAUGUAGAUAUCACUGCAUGUAUAUUGGUGUCAUUGUUUUGUAUGUAGGUGUACGCGUAUGGUUUUAUAGUAGAUGAAGUGUCUCAGCCGGGCUCCGGGUUUUGUAUUAUAUUGUGUUUAUUGUAUGUGAUUUUUUCCUGGAGUGUGACACCUUUUUUCUUUAAAUUUUGUAACUAUUAGGCUGAAACUUUUUCGGAAUUUGUGGCAAUCAGAAAUGUAAUUGUUAAUUAAGGUAUCCAUAUUGUAAAUCCCAUUAGUGGCCAAAUGUUAUGUCAGGGGAAAAUGUUCUGUAUAUUUAUGAAUUGAUGGAUGGAAGGAUGGAUGGAUCGCUAGAUCUGUAUUUGAUAUAGUUGUCCAAAAGCCUUACUUUCCAUGCUAUGUUUUAGUAAUAAUUAC